RNAcentral lists this ribosomal RNA (492 nucleotides) under uncultured bacterium. RNAcentral's name for it is "partial 16S ribosomal RNA". It matches the Rfam family "Bacterial small subunit ribosomal RNA", at positions 29 to 507 of the family's 1533-position model. The record is from RNAcentral.
AGUGAACGCUGGCGGUAGGCCUAACACAUGCAAGUCGAACGGCAGCACAGUAAGAGCUUGCUCUUACGGGUGGCGAGUGGCGGACGGGUGAGGAAUACAUCGGAAUCUACUUUUUCGUGGGGGAUAACGUAGGGAAACUUACGCUAAUACCGCAUACGACCUACGGGUGAAAGCAGGGGAUCUUCGGACCUUGCGCGAUUGAAUGAGCCGAUGUCGGAUUAGCUAGUUGGCGGGGUAAAGGCCCACCAAGGCGACGAUCCGUAGCUGGUCUGAGAGGAUGAUCAGCCACACUGGAACUGAGACACGGUCCAGCCUCCUACGGGAGGCAGCAGUGGGGAAUAUUGGACAAGGGGCGAAAGCCUGAUCCAGCCAUGCCGCGUGGGUGAAGAAGGUCUUCGGAUUGUAAAGCCUUUUUGGUGGGAAAGAAAAGCAGCAGGUUAAUACCCCGUUGUUUUGACGUUACCAAAAGAAUAAGCACCGGCUAACUUCGUG